GAUGAACGCUGGCGGCGUGCCUAAUACAUGCAAGUCGAACGGGGAUAGAAAUAUCUUAGUGGCGACCGGGUGCGUAACACGUAGCUGACCUGCCCCUCAGCGGGGGACAACAGUUCGAAAGGACUGCUAAUACCGCAUGGACUUUGAGGAUUUAGAAAGCUCAAAGGAAACUUACGGGGUUGAGGGAGGGAGCUGCGGCCCAUCAGGUAGUUGGAGAGGUAGAAGCCCACCAAGCCGACGACGGGUAGGGGGCCUGAGAGGGUGACCCCCCACACUGGAACUGACAACGGUCCAGACUCCUACGGGAGGCAGCAGUAAGGGAUAUUGCGCAAUGGGCGAAAGCCUGACGCAGCAACGCCGCGUGGAGGAAUAAGGCCUUCGGGUUGUAAACUCCUUUGGAAGGGGACGAGCAAGGACGGUACCCUUCGAACAAGUCACGGCUAACUACGUGCCAGCAGCCGCGGUAAAACGUAGGUGGCGAGCGUUAUCCGGAUUUACUGGGUGUAAAGCGUGUGCAGGCGGAAGACCAAGUGGUGUAUGAAAGCGUCCGGCUCAACCGGGCAAGGUUAUGCCAGACUGGUCAUCUAGAGUGCGAGAGAGGGGCGUGGAAUUCCGGGUGUAGUGGUGAAAUGCGUAGAGAUCCGGAGGAACCCCAGAGGCGAAGGCGGCGCCCUGGCUCGCAACUGACGCUCAGACACGACAGCAUGGGGAGCGAACGGGAUUAGAAACCCCGGUAGUCCAUGCCGUAAACGAUGUCGACUAGGCGUCGGCGGUCUCAACCCCGUCGGUGCCGCAGCCAACGCGAUAAGUCGACCACCUGGGAAGUACGACCGCAAGGUUUAAAACUCAAAGGAGUUGACGGGGGCCCGCACAACCAGCGGAGCGUGUGGUUUAAUUCGAGGCUACGCGAAGAACCUUACC
RNAcentral lists this ribosomal RNA (921 nucleotides) under uncultured bacterium. RNAcentral describes it as "bacterial SSU rRNA". It matches the Rfam family "Bacterial small subunit ribosomal RNA", at positions 28 to 975 of the family's 1533-position model. The record is from RNAcentral.